This 546-nucleotide ribosomal RNA is filed under the name Enterococcus faecalis. Its description in RNAcentral is "bacterial SSU rRNA". It matches the Rfam family "Bacterial small subunit ribosomal RNA", at positions 1 to 525 of the family's 1533-position model. The record is from RNAcentral. Lineage: Bacteria; Bacillati; Bacillota; Bacilli; Lactobacillales; Enterococcaceae.
AAAUUGGAAUCCUGGGCUCAUGACGACGCUGGCGGCGUGCCUAAUACAUGCAAGUCGAACGCUUCUUUUUCCACCGGAGCUUGCUCCACCGGAAAAAGAGGAGUGGCGAACGGGUGAGUAACACGUGGGUAACCUGCCCAUCAGAAGGGGAUAACACUUGGAAACAGGUGCUAAUACCGUAUAACAAUCAAAACCGCAUGGUUUUGAUUUGAAAGGCGCUUUCGGGUGUCGCUGAUGGAUGGACCCGCGGUGCAUUAGCUAGUUGGUGAGGUAACGGCUCACCAAGGCCACGAUGCAUAGCCGACCUGAGAGGGUGAUCGGCCACAUUGGGACUGAGACACGGCCCAAACUCCUACGGGAGGCAGCAGUAGGGAAUCUUCGGCAAUGGACGAAAGUCUGACCGAGCAACGCCGCGUGAGUGAAGAAGGUUUUCGGAUCGUAAAACUCUGUUGUUAGAGAAGAACAAGGAUGAGAGUAACUGUUCAUCCCUUGACGGUAUCUAACCAGAAAGCCACGGCUAACUACGUGCCAGCCGCCGCGGUAAUU